Otolemur garnettii (small-eared galago) is the source of this 695-nucleotide RNA transcript. It is a transcript of the gene named G patch domain-containing protein 4-like, with no coding region annotated. The annotation marks the transcript as partial. The record is from RefSeq and is a predicted model, not a curated record. The transcript has a single exon. NCBI's taxonomy places the organism in Eukaryota, Metazoa, Chordata, Mammalia, Primates, Galagidae.
CCGCCUUGGGAUUACAAUGAAGGCCAAGCUCGCUCGGCUGGAGGCCCAGGAGCAGGCCUUCCUGGCUCAUCUUAAAGGCAAGGCCUCUCAGGCCUCUCAACCACAGUCAGAGAGCAAGCCGCCCAAAAAGAAGAAAAAGAAAAGAAAGCAGAAAGAGGAGGAAGAGGCUACAGCAACUGAAAGGAAUGCAGAUGAAAAGUGCCCAGAACACACCAUCCAGAGCAUCAGGAAAAGCAAAAAGAAGAAAAGACACCACCAAGAAGAAAAGGUCUCCUAUCCGACAGUGGGGACAGCUGUAGGGGAUAAGGAGGAAGAGGCUACAGGAACAGGUGGGCUGAGGGAAUUCAGCAGAGAGCCAACUGAUCAGUCUUCCAGGAAAAGGAAGAGAAAAAAGAAGCAUCGCCAUGAAGAAAAGAAGAUGGGGGUCUUGGAUGAAAGAGGAAGAGGUAAGGAGGCUACCAGUGCUGUCAGGAUAGAGGGAGAAAACACAGCGCAUACUGACCCAUGCAGCAGAAGCAAGAAGAGGCGGCACUAUGAGAAUUUGAACUUAGAAGACAAUGAACUCGAGGAAACCAUUUUAGACAUUGGGAUCAGGGAAACAGAGGACAGAGCACACAGAGAUAGGAGAAGCAAGGGAAGCAAGAAGAGAACACAGCAGCUUGGAGAUAGGGAUGUGAGGGACAGAAGAGGUAAGA